GCAUUAGUAGCUCAGUGUCAGAGCACCAGUCUUGUAAACUGACUGUCGGAGGUUAAAAUCCCCCCUACUGCU
RNAcentral lists this transfer RNA (72 nucleotides) under Ancylopsetta ommata (Gulf of Mexico ocellated flounder). RNAcentral describes it as "tRNA-Thr". It matches the Rfam family "tRNA". From Rfam's summary of the family: Transfer RNA (tRNA) molecules are approximately 80 nucleotides in length. Their secondary structure includes four short double-helical elements and three loops (D, anti-codon, and T loops). The record is from RNAcentral. Lineage: Eukaryota; Metazoa; Chordata; Actinopteri; Pleuronectiformes; Paralichthyidae.